GGGAGCGGAGCGGAGCGGGACGCCGAGUCCGGAGCGGCCGGCGGCCGGGGCUCCCCGCCCCUCCCUCCUCUCCGGCGGCGGCGGCGGGCGGAGUGAGCUGCGGAGCCUGGAAUAUGGUCGGGGAAAUGGAAACGAAGGAGAAGCCGAAGCCCACCCCAGAUUACCUGAUGCAGCUGAUGAACGACAAGAAGCUCAUGAGCAGCCUGCCCAACUUCUGCGGGAUCUUCAACCAUCUCGAGCGGCUGCUGGACGAAGAAAUUAGCAGAGUACGGAAAGACAUGUACAAUGACACAUUAAAUGGCAGUACAGAGAAAAGGAGUGCAGAAUUGCCUGAUGCUGUGGGACCUAUUGUUCAGUUACAAGAGAAACUUUAUGUGCCUGUAAAAGAAUACCCAGAUUUUAAUUUCGUUGGGAGAAUCCUUGGACCUAGAGGACUUACUGCGAAACAACUUGAAGCAGAAACAGGAUGUAAGAUAAUGGUCCGAGGCAAAGGCUCAAUGAGGGAUAAAAAGAAGGAGGAGCAAAAUCGAGGCAAGCCUAAUUGGGAGCAUCUCAAUGAAGAUUUACAUGUACUGAUCACUGUGGAAGAUGCUCAGAACAGAGCAGAGAUCAAACUGAAGAGAGCUGUUGAGGAGGUGAAGAAAUUACUGGUACCUGCAGCGGAGGGAGAAGACAGCCUGAAGAAGAUGCAGCUGAUGGAGCUUGCAAUUCUCAAUGGCACCUACAGAGAUGCCAACAUUAAAUCACCAGCCCUUGCCUUUUCUCUUGCAGCCACAGCCCAGGCCGCUCCAAGGGUUAUCACGGGGCCUGCGCCCGUUCUCCCGCCAGCUGCCCUGCGCACCCCUACGCCAGCUGGCCCUACCAUAAUGCCUUUGAUCAGACAGAUACAGACCGCUGUCAUGCCAAACGGAACUCCUCACCCAGCUGCUGCGAUAGUCCCUCCAGGGCCUGAAGCUGGUUUAAUCUACACGCCCUAUGAAUACCCCUACACGUUGGCGCCAGCUACAUCGAUCCUUGAGUACCCUAUUGAGCCUAGCGGGGUAUUAGGUAUGGCUUUCCCAACGAAAGGCUAAGAAUUCAAGAACGGUCUUAACUGAACCCUCAUCAGAUCUGAAUUUAACAAAUGCUUAGUCUCAGCAGCCUCCAGGGGGUGGGAGGGACGCUUAGCCUAGCAGUCAGUGACUGACUUGCACUUUUGCACACUGAUAGAAAGGAAAAGUAUGUUAUUAAUUGGUUUAGGCUGUAAUCUUACAAAGUAACGGUAAUUUAUAAAGGAGUGUAUAGUAGUAUACUGACUGCUAAGUGUACUAUACUGUUUGCUUUACUAAUCACCUAAUUCAUUGCAGUUCAUACUUAUUGACUCAAAGUUUAGAACCACAAUCCGUAGGCUUUAAGAAUUGCUUUUAAACCUUCUUAAGUGAUAGACUCUGGAAGUGGUCUUAAGGUUAGAAAAUAAUUGUCAGUAUUAAACAUGGCAUUAUUUAAGUAGUCCUGCUGCAAGAAAGGCACUUCAGUGAAUAUGUGACUAGUAAAGCUUAACUAUGUUUGGAUCUAAUAGAGUUCAUGAAAUCUGUAACUUGGGAUUGUAAAUGAAUGGAUAAAAUCGGUUAAGGCCAAGAUUAUUGAAGUGAAUGCAAUAUUAAUAGAUGCAUAUCUACGCAACGUAUUGUGGGUAAUUUUAAGACUACUGUGCCUUAACAUGUCUCCUAAAAGAAAACGUUUGUAGUAAACGAACAUUUGAAAUCCAUUUUGAUAAACCUGCUGUUAAUGUUUGUUAUCUUUUCCCUUUUGAAUGUUCUCUAACUUUGUCUUGGUAAUUGCAAUUUAACUAGGUGCGGUGGCUACUAAAGUUCGAAGGCACGAUAUGCGUGUCCAUCCUUACCAAAGGAUUGUGACCGCAGACCGAGCCGCCACCGGCAACUAACCUAUGACCUUCUGACCUCUGAACUCUUCACCCAAUGAUGACCUGACCAUGCCUGCCUGCUGAUCAGUUAACUGGUAAUCGCCUUUGCUUGCCUGUCGUCAGUGCAGCGAGCUGAGGCACUUGUCCGUUCGUCUUACCAUCUAACCAAACAAAAGACAAAGAAAUUGUCCUCCAACUCAGCUUUUGGUUUUUUUUUUUUUUGGUUUUUGUUUUUUUCUUUUUUCUGUUUGGGUGAAAGUGGUUCUAGAACCUGCACUGAAUAGUAGUAAAGCAAUAAGGCCCCAUUCUUCCCACAGCACUGAUCAUCUUUUAAUGUCCCACCCUAAGCGAACGGUAAGAAGGCCUCACUUCAGAAGGGGAGACAGAUGGCCCUUAACUACUCAGUGACAGAGGCAGUUACUGUGAGAGACUUCUAGGAAUCUUUUCUUCUCAUAGCGAGUCAAAGCUCUCUGAAUGUACUGUGUGGUGAUGCAUCAUGCAUGAACCUUUGGUCAGGGAUGUCAUUGGUGAAGUGAUUUCAAAAGUAUUCAAAAUUUGAUAUGCUGUUUAGUCACUACAGUGCCCUCAAAGGGCAGAAGUUGCAGCCUUUUUUAUAUUGCCUGCCAAAAUUUGAAGUAUUAGAAGUGUGCCAUGAGAGAAAAUCUUAAGGAAUUUUGAGAAGUAAUGCAAAGAACAAAACUGCAACACUAUUUUUAAAAAGAUAAAUAUCUGAGUUAAAAUUACUGAACCUUUAUUUUACACCUCCUUUAAAAAAUAUACGAGAACAAGGUACAUGCAUUAUGUGUCACAUUACUGGGCAAACUGUUCAAAUAUUUUUUUUAAACCUCCCUGUAUAGAAAAAAAUCAUUAAGGAUGUAAAAGCCAUGCUUGCCUAUUUGCUGUAUACAUGUAAUGAAAUUGUAGAUAAAGUGUAGUGCAUUGAAACAAAUGAACAAAAAGUAGAUACUUUUACUAUACAAGGGUGCUGGUGCAGAAAAAAAUAUAUAUAUUUUUGGAAAUGUAGCAUUUUAUACUUUCAAGUGUUAUUAAAAAAAAAAAGAACAAAGAAACCCUUUAUUUCAUGAAAUGAUUUUUUCUGGUGGUUGUCAAGAAACAAAAGACCAAAAGAGCCUUUUUGUCUUUUUUUUAUUUUUUAAGUAUUGGAAUAAGUCUAAAGAAAAGAAAGUGCCUUAUUUUCCUUCAUGGUCAUUUAGUCAACUGUCUUGUAAGAUCAGCUCCUCCCUCAGAAUACAAGUUAAUGCAUGUUACUCAGUCGCCCAGUAUGUGAAAGAAGAUGUGAGGGGAGACAAAUGAGUUGAUGGUUUGAAUUCUAUGAUUUUUGCCACGUUACCUUGACAUAAAUUUGCCAAAUCUGAUACUGUGAAAAAAUUUGAUAACUUUUCUAAUGCCUAGCAAGUAAGUUUUAAAACAUUCUUUUAAAAUCAUAAUUGAGUGCUUUUGGUUAUUGUGAUAUUUAAUGUUAGUCCAAAGGAUUCUGAAAUAAAAAUUAUGUGUGAUCUGAACAUCACUUUACAGACAAAAUUAGAGCUCUAUUUUGUUGGGGGGGGAGGGGUAUUGGAUUUUGUAUUAUUAAUUGGAGGUAAUAAUAGUAUAUUAGCAACCUUUUUCACAAAAACGAAUCUUUGUGUUUUUCAUUCUGGAAAACAAGGUUUUAAAUGAACCAAAUUUAAUCAGACUUGUUUCUGCCAUACCAGAUCACUUGGGUAGUCCAUCUCUGCUGGUUUUAGUAACCUAAGCCAACAACACCCCCUUUUUAACUUUAAAAGAAUGUGAAAAACUAGCAUCAUUGUGCAUAUAAUAGUCAACUACACGUGAGUUUAAACUUCCAAUUUCUUAAUGAAGUUCAGUUUUGUAGUUGAAGCGAUUUGUGCACAAAGCCUACAUCUAAACUCUUAAGUAAUCAUUAACUGCUCAGUACCAGACGUGGCAAAUAGCAAGUGGCGGUGGCUCCCCAGCUCGUCAGCUCCUUCCCUCUUACAUACCUUCACAGCUUCACAGUCAAAGGUCAGCAGUAAGCUCAGUAAGCACCUUUGUGGUGACCUGCUCCAUCAUCUUGUCUCACUUGGAAACCAUUUUCAGUUUAUUUACUAUGCAAUAGACAUUCAUCGUUCUGUAUUCAGCUAGCUUUAGUUUAACAUGCCACUGCUUUGUCUUUCUGUUACACAUACAGUUGUUUUGAUUUAUUUACAAUAUAUGCUGUGCCAUUUUGAUUUUUAUUUUGUUUGGUUGGUUGAAUAAAUUUGCGACACUCAAACACUUGAGGUGAUAGUUUAAAAACGAUACCAGUAUUGGAUCUAGUUUCAUCUCAACUAUGUUAUGCCUGGACAUUAUAGAUGUUUAUCAAAGGUCUUUUAUGGGGAAGAAAGUAAAUGUAUGAAAUAAAUGUGUGACAUUUAUGAGUAAUGUUGGCUCUGAACAAACGUUUGAAAACUUAGUUGACAAAAUUUUGGAUCAACUGAAAAAAAGCAUGACUUUUGAAAUCUCUGAAUGCCUUGGUUCUCAGUAUUAUUCUUUAUUGAAUUUAUUUCUUAUUAAAAUAUGUAGUUUUUAAGACUUUUUUUCUGACAGUAUUAUGUAAUUUUUUAGUGCGGGUAGAUGGGAGUGUCGCUUGUAUGUUACCGUACAGCUGACAUGUAUUUUUGUCUAUUCUUUAUUAUCUCAGUAGUUUCAUGCUAUCUAUGUAUCAUAACCAACCUAUUGCCUAUGAGAAACAUGUAAGAUAAUGUAUUUACAGCCAUUGUUACAAGUUUAUAAUGUAUUUUUCUAUCUUGUUUUAUAUGUAUGUUAUAUAACAUUCAAAAAGAAUUUUUUUCUUGAUUGAGAAAAGGAUACAAAAUGCAAAAUCCACAAUUUUGAUAACUGAAAAUUGCCAAUUGUUUUGCAGUACUUUAUUAUAUUGGGUGUCUUGUCUUUCUUGGGCUUUUAGUUAGCUAAUGAAUGAAUACAUUAGACACUUUCGGGUUUUAGUUGGGAUUUUACAUAGCUUGCAUUUUAAUUCUUUGGUUCUUUGCUGUUUCUAUUAACCCAUAGCAUUAUUUUAAUAAAUGUUAUAAUACCAACCUA
Kogia breviceps (pygmy sperm whale) is the source of this 4987-nucleotide non-coding RNA. The record is from RefSeq and is a predicted model, not a curated record. NCBI's taxonomy places the organism in Eukaryota, Metazoa, Chordata, Mammalia, Artiodactyla, Physeteridae.